Carassius carassius (crucian carp) is the source of this 296-nucleotide long non-coding RNA. RefSeq lists it as uncharacterized. Lineage: Eukaryota; Metazoa; Chordata; Actinopteri; Cypriniformes; Cyprinidae. The transcript is spliced from 3 exons. The record is from RefSeq and is a predicted model, not a curated record.
CAUUUGUGUGUUUGUUUGAAGUGAAACAUGAAGUGCCACUAGAAACCCUGCCAGGAAAUUACACAUCUUCAGGAGACAAAGAAUAUGCAAGGUCUCCUGGCCUGCUUAUUGCUGGAAUCAUGGGGAGCGUGAUUGGGUCUGUUUUCAUCAUAUCCGCUACCAUUUGGUUUUGUUUGAACAAGAAAAGAAAGUCAGAGUACACUCCUCCAGGUGAAGCUGAAUCUGAGACAAAAUUAUGAAUUGUCCAAGUCAAAGUUUUAGCAGUAGGAAUAAGGAAUAGGAAUAGUCUCUGUAAA